Molecule: ribosomal RNA, 464 nt
Filed under: uncultured Geobacteraceae bacterium
Lineage: Bacteria; Pseudomonadati; Thermodesulfobacteriota; Desulfuromonadia; Geobacterales; Geobacteraceae
Description: partial 16S ribosomal RNA
Rfam family: Bacterial small subunit ribosomal RNA
Source: RNAcentral
CCUACGGGAGGCAGCAGUGGGGAAUUUUGCGCAAUGGGGGCAACCCUGACGCAGCAACGCCGCGUGAGUGAUGAAGGCCUUCGGGUCGUAAAGCUCUGUCAGAGGGGAAGAAAUGCAGGUGGUGAACAACCAUUCUGUUUGACGGUACCCUCAAAGGAAGCACCGGCUAACUCCGUGCCAGCAGCCGCGGUAAUACGGAGGGUGCGAGCGUUGUUCGGAAUUAUUGGGCGUAAAGCGCGUGUAGGCGGUUUGUAAAUUCUGAUGAAAAAGCCCCGGGCACAACCGGGGAAGUGCAUUGGAUACUGGCAGACUUGAGUACGGGAGAGGAGAGUGGAAUUCCCAGUGUAGGGGUAAAAUCCGUAGAUAUUGGGAGGAACACCGGUGGCGAGGGCGGCUCUCUGAACCGAUACUGACGCUGAGACGCGAAAGCGUGGGGAGCAAACAGGAUUAGAUACCCCUGUAGU